CAUUCAUCCAAAUGAAACACUCCCAUAUCAUGACCGCCAGCGGUUUGAGUUGCACGAUAUCCAAGAGUAAAGUCAUCUGUAAAAUAGAUACAGUUCUUUUUCACUGAUCUAUAAUAAUCAGAAGCUAAUACAGACUUCGAAACUGUCCUGGCUUUUGCAGCAGGCACUCCUCUAGUUCUUCUGUCCUGGCUUUAAGUGUUCUAGCAGCAUCUGCUGACUCUGCAUUUACACUCAGAUCCUUUUGCCUUCGAACAUGAGUCCUGACAGCCUGAAAAUAGGUUUGGAAGUCACAAACAAAAGAUACAUGGAAGCAUGGGAAUAAAUAAAUAGAUAUAAUACGAUAAGGUGAAAACAAAUUUACCUGCAGGGAAUCUGGUAAUCCUUAGUAGCGCACAGUUCUGCAUUCCAAUGUUAAAGCUGUGAUCACUCAAUAAACUGUAAGGCCUAGAUGAAAUUACAAACUUUUUAUCCUUAAGUCCGCUCUUUAGGAAAGCAAGAAAUUAACCGAAAACAUGAUACAAAUAGUAAUAUACAAAUCAAUCACAAUCAUAAAGGUCACAAUCAACAUAAAAAAGAUUGUAACUGAAGUAAACAAUACCGCUUAUCUUAGUGAAAUUUCUUCUGGCAACUUAUUAGAUAAAGCAUCUUCUUGUGCUUCCUGCAGCUCAGAAAAGAAGCAAGCAUCUGCAUGUUACAUGGACAAGGAAAAAUCACUCUCUUAAAGAAAGGAAGUAAAGAAAAGAAAAAAACUACGAACCACAAGAAAUGGGAAACCUACUUAUGCAUGACACAUAGCAAACUCUAACAAUAGUAGUGCAAGUAUCAGCAAGAUUUAUUGACAUCGCCAAAUAACAGUAUUUUUCAGUACUGUAAACCCCUUAUGCAUCAUCGGCACACUGGAUAUUUCGGACCAUGCCCCCACGACAAGCUACUAAAUAAAUUAGAAUACCUUAGCCUUCUGAGGAUGACUUCAAGCUUCCACAUAGCUCUGUCGGCAGUAGUUCAGGUGAGAUACUAUCAUUUACUGCUUUAAGCGCUAGAAACAUGGAGUCCAAACAAUCCACUCAUUUGCCUUAAGUAGUUAACUAUCUUUUUUCUACUUUCAUUCAGAUCUGUCAUGCUCUUCCGAGCUCGGCUUUCAGCACAAACAAUCCACAUUCAACAAAACACCAUAGAGAAAAGAUAGUGAAUUUAUAUAUACCAUGCAUAUAUAGAGAAAAUUAAUGAAUUUAUAUCCCAAGACCUGCAACAUGUUCUAUCUCUGUUCAAUCCGUUGAAUGGCUGAGAAUUUGAGUCCGAACCUCUUUUCAUAUUUUGUAUGCUUCACCUGAAGAAUACAAUACAUUUUCUUAAGACUUAAAACCUCAUCUCCCAUCAACUCAUCAAAUUUAUGUGGUUGGAUGUUAGCAUCUGAAAAACAAAAUUUUAAAUAUACUCCUGUUAUAACCCAGUAAGGCAGUAACCCAUUAUCAACAAUAAGCAAUGUUACAUGUUAUAAUGGAACUAUGGAAGUAAGAAUAUAUCUGGAAAAAGAUAUGAACAAUACUGGACAAAUUGGAUACAACCAUGAUUUUUAAUAUCCUUCUUCAGACAUCUUUCCAUGUAAAGAUGAUGCUACUAGUUGAAUUUAGAUCUCUAAGCAUCAAGGGUAUCCCCCCAAUGAUUUCAUCAAACCCGUAGUGGAUGAGACGCAGAAAGGGCAUCUUCAACAUAAUUUUGACAAUCUCCAUUGCUUUCAAUGGCACCUGACUCUAGAAAAUUACAGAGAGAAAUCUCCUCAGGGGGACAAAACACAAUUGGCCCUAGAAAAUAAGUAUUAAAAAUAUUGAUUUAAUUAGAAGAAUGCAGAAGGGUAAGAACACGUUGAAUACAAGAAUAAUAAUACCUCUGAAGUAGUCUGUGUCAUUCAUAGCUUCUAAACCAUUUUCACUCCCACCAGCUUGUAGCCCAAGAAAAUUCAAAUCGACCAACUAAAGUUCCAAAAAAGAAUGAAAAACCAAUCAACAAAAGUGGUUCAUAAAGUAGGGCCAACGAUAAGAAGAACCAAAUUUGAAGAAAGAAGCUUGCAACAUUGACCUGAUUCCAGAGUUCCUAGCACUGAUAUCAGUGUCAUAAGA
RNAcentral lists this long non-coding RNA (2117 nucleotides) under Aquilegia coerulea. RNAcentral's name for it is "long non-coding RNA (ACOE_LNC000834)". Lineage: Eukaryota; Viridiplantae; Streptophyta; Magnoliopsida; Ranunculales; Ranunculaceae. The record is from RNAcentral.